AUGAAAUUAGGGGGAUAUAUGCUGCUCGCACACCAAUGUGGGUGGUAAAAACGGCUGAUGGCCCACUAAUCUAAUUUAAACUUUGGUGUUUGGGUACAAUAAACAUGCCUCAUAACUAUUAGAUUGGAUUUUGGUUCAAAAUUUAAAUCCAAAAAACUAUAAGAUUUUGUUUGAGUUGAUGUCAAUAUAUACCUAAAACUUGAUGUCACACCUCCAACCCG
This 221-nucleotide long non-coding RNA is filed under the name Elaeis guineensis (African oil palm). RNAcentral describes it as "long non-coding RNA (EGUI_LNC008241)". Lineage: Eukaryota; Viridiplantae; Streptophyta; Magnoliopsida; Arecales; Arecaceae. The record is from RNAcentral.